Molecule: ribosomal RNA, 113 nt
Filed under: Ralstonia pickettii
Lineage: Bacteria; Pseudomonadati; Pseudomonadota; Betaproteobacteria; Burkholderiales; Burkholderiaceae
Description: 16S ribosomal RNA
Rfam family: Bacterial small subunit ribosomal RNA
Source: RNAcentral
GGCAGUAGUUAGCCUAACCGCAAGGAGGGCGAUUACCACGGUAGGGUUCAUGACUGGGGUGAAGUCGUAACAAGGUAGCCGUAUCGGAAGGUGCGGCUGGAUCACCUCCUUUA